UAGGGAAUCUUCGGCAAUGGACGGAAGUCUGACCGAGCAACGCCGCGUGAGUGAAGAAGGUUUUCGGAUCGUAAAGCUCUUUUGUUAGAGAAGAACGUUGGUAGGAGUGGAAAAUCUACCAAGUGACGGUAACUAACCAGAAAGGGACGGCUAACUACGUGCCAGCAGCCGCGGUAAUACGUAGGUCCCGAGCGUUGUCCGGAUUUAUUGGGCGUAAAGCGAGCGCAGGCGGUUCUUUAAGUGUGAAGUUAAAGGCAGUGGCUUAACCACUGUACGCUUUGGAAACUGGAGGACUUGAGUGCAGAAGGGGAGAGUGGAAUUCCAUGUGUAGCGGUGAAAUGCGUAGAUAUAUGGAAGAACACCGGUGGCGAAAGCGGCUCUCUGGUCUGUAACUGACGCUGAGGCUCGAAAGCGUGGGGAGCAAACAGG
Molecule: ribosomal RNA, 429 nt
Filed under: Bacillota bacterium
Lineage: Bacteria; Bacillati; Bacillota
Description: Firmicutes bacterium partial 16S ribosomal RNA
Rfam family: Bacterial small subunit ribosomal RNA
Source: RNAcentral